Caenorhabditis elegans is the source of this 21-nucleotide non-coding RNA. The record is from Ensembl. Lineage: Eukaryota; Metazoa; Nematoda; Chromadorea; Rhabditida; Rhabditidae.
UGGCAUCUCCGGAAAAAACGA